CCUGAGUAAACGCAUAUAUAAUCGAUAUAUAGGUUUAAGUAGGGCAUGUCAACAAAUCAAAAUUACAAUCCGGAUGAGCUGGAGGCAUUGGAAUGGCUUAAUACGCCAUUCUUUACCGAGGUCUUGAUACAAUACGAGAAUGCACCAGAUUUAAAGUUAAAUGAUCUCAAAUUGUCCCCGGCGAGUGCGCAGGGAGAUCACUAUGCAAGCGUCAUGUUUCGCGCCACCGUGGAGUACUCAACCGUGGAAGGCAACAUUUUCAAGUCCUUAAUUGUCAAGACAAUGCCCGAGCAAGGCGGUCUGAAGAAGAGACUGGUGGAUGAUUCACACAUGUUCCAAACCGAGAUAGCCAUGUAUACAGAAGUGCUGCCCAAGUUUGAGGCGAUACUGCGGGACGCAGGGGAAGAGUGUACGUUAUUUGUGCCUUGUUUAUAUCACAGCUUGAAACCGCGAAAGGUUAUGAUCCUUGAGGAUCUGGUGCCCCAAGGCUAUCAAGUGAUUCGUAACCGAUCUGCAACAUUAGAUGAACUAAGAUCUGCGCUGGAGAAGCUGGCCAAGUGGCAUGCAGUCAGCCACAAAUUGUUAAAGGAACAGCCAGCACUGUUCAAAGAGUUACAAUAUAAUAUCUCCACCCUUCCCAACUUUCUGAAUCAAAGCUUCAUCACGAAUGGUUUGCCAAACUUUAUUUAUAUGCUGGAUGAAUCAGAAGGUCUAAAGAAGUACAAACGUUAUUUCGAGGCUAUGCGUGGAAAUCUAAUUCAACAAUGGGCGGAUACGUUAGGCGAGUACCGUAACAGCCCCCAGAAAAAUUCGUAUUAUGUUCUAUGCCAUGGCGACUUUCACAUCAGGAACUUGAUGUUUAACAACAGCAGCUGCAUGUUGUUAGACUUUCAGCUAUCCCAUGUGGGGCCGCUGGUUAAUGAUUUUCUCUAUGCGAUGUACAUGCUCUUUUCAGCUGACGAUCGUGGAAUGCGCCGCGAUGAACUUAUAAGUUACUAUUUGGAAGUAUUUGCCAAUACUUUGAAAAAGAUUGGUUACCGAGGCAUAGCACCUAGUUUUGACGAAUUUCAGCGCCAGAUGAUCGAGAAGCGACACCACGAGUUUCUGCUGCUCACGACAUUUUUGCCGAUGCAAAUAGCUGCCCGCAAGAAUGCCGUCGACCCAUUUCGGCGACGCACGAGCAUGUACAAGGAUAUGGAUUACCAAGAGGAAGUGGCAUAUCUAUUGGAGCGUAUGAAUAAUUUGGGAUAUUUCAAAGAUAUGCAGAAUUCAAUAUAAAACUAGCUUUAUAAUGCUUAUGUGCUGGACGAUAAUUCGAGCAUAAAUUCGAUAUGCUUUCGUAUAUACAUAUAAAUUCAUUCAGAAAUUAUCAACACCUUUGAGAGAAUGAUAAGUUACUCAUUACUAAACGAAAAAAAGAAGUAAAGAGAAUGUAAGAGCGAGAGCAGGAGAGGAAAUAAGGGAUCUCACAUCUUUUCUUGAAAGAAAAUUUUUGAAAUAUUUUCCAAAAAAAAAAUAUGUGAAUGUAUUUGUGUCAUGAACUAAGUAUUUGUUGUAAUUAAAAGAUUGUGGGAGCCGUCAAAAUUGUAUGCCAUGACGAUGCAAGUAUCAAGACUGAUGAUAAUCUAAC
This 1630-nucleotide unclassified non-coding RNA is filed under the name Drosophila virilis. RNAcentral describes it as "GJ24003". The record is from RNAcentral. Lineage: Eukaryota; Metazoa; Arthropoda; Insecta; Diptera; Drosophilidae.